UACGUAGGGUGCGAGCGUUGUCCGGAAUUACUGGGCGUAAAGAGCUCGUAGGCGGUUUGUCGCGUCGUCCGUGAAAACUUGGGGCUCAACCCCAAGCUUGCGGGCGAUACGGGCAGACUUGAGUACUGUAGGGGAGACUGGAAUUCCUGGUGUAGCGGUGAAAUGCGCAGAUAUCAGGAGGAACACCGGUGGCGAAGGCGGGUCUCUGGGCAGUAACUGACGCUGAGGAGCGAAAGCGUGGGGAGCGAACAGG
Molecule: ribosomal RNA, 253 nt
Filed under: uncultured bacterium
Lineage: Bacteria
Description: partial 16S ribosomal RNA
Rfam family: Bacterial small subunit ribosomal RNA
Source: RNAcentral